This is a long non-coding RNA of Gasterosteus aculeatus aculeatus (three-spined stickleback), 1089 nucleotides long. The record is from Ensembl. Lineage: Eukaryota; Metazoa; Chordata; Actinopteri; Perciformes; Gasterosteidae.
CAUAUCGGGCCGGUGUUAGCUGUGUGAACUUCAAAAGCAAACCUUUGAAUAUGACCGGCCCUCGUUCCCUCUCUUGGAGUCUACAUUUGUCAAUCAAAUGUUUGGCAGCUUAAACAAGACUGAGCGAGGCCCACACUGAAGCCAGUCUUGUUCCGGCGUUGGCUGACAAUUCAAGGCUGCCGCUGUACUGAACAGCUUGCGAGGAUUAGUAUUUCAAUGUGAAGCAGUGUUGAAAAAUGAGCACGUAUGCACGACGCUAUAACAGACAUGACUUCCCAACUUGUUCCGUUUUCCAUGCCAGUGCAUGGUUACUGCAAACCUAUUUUUCUGAAUGUAUCUUAGUGUUGUGGAGUAUCAGUCCAAUAUGCAAUCUCCUUUUCGGAUUUGCUCCAGAGACACUUUGGACUCAUUUUGGAGACUAAAGUACGUUCACCAGCUACUUUCUAACUUUAUCUAUCUGGGCAAGUAGUGUACAGUGUUUUUAAUUUUAGUUUUAUGAAAACAACAUUGAUGACGAUUGGUGAGUGUGAACCAAAACCAUAAAGUUUCCAGCCUCAAAAUCAAAUCCGCUAAAGAAAUGGAAGAUGCUAAAAUGCGCCGGAGAGGUGAGAGGAUCUUCAGAGUUACUCUCAAAUACAAGUAAGCAAUAAUGCGAUCUAUAGUUAAUAUAAAAAUAUAGAUUAUUAGAGAUGUCACAGCCACAGGCACUGCACUACGGUGUCAGGGCUGAUCCAGGCUUAUUUGAAAGGAUCGGUGUAAUGAAAAUCCCAUCUUCCUUUGCUGUAGCCUACUGCGCCGACAAAUGUUGCGGCGCCCCGCCGUGACACAACCAUCCGGGCUCCACACGUUGCUCACAAGCCAGUGAAAGGUUUAGUGAAUAAAGAUAUAUGUGUACAUCUGUAUUGGCAAAAUACAAACCACUUUGUUGCGUCGGUUUUACAGAAUUUUUUUCUCCACCGCCAUGCUAAAAACGUUAGCUUAGCCAACGAGUUUCUGUUAGAUGGAUUAAACCAUGAGCCCCCGCAUGUUUUAUAUUUAUCAAUAUAUUGAAAUUUGGCGCCAUGGCAUUGAUAACGUAACGCAAGCGGA